UAGAGUUUGAUCAUGGCUCAGAACGAACGCUGGCGGCAGGCCUAACACAUGCAAGUCGAGCGAGAUCUUCGGGUCUAGCGGCGGACGGGUGAGUAACGCGUGGGAAUAUGCCCUUCUCUACGGAAUAGCCUCGGGAAACUGAGAGUAAUACCAUAUACGCCCUUUGGGGGAAAGAUUUAUCGGAGAAGGAUUAGCCCGCGUUGGAUUAGGUAGUUGGUGGGGUAAUGGCCUACCAAGCCGACGAUCCAUAGCUGGUUUGAGAGGAUGAUCAGCCACACUGGGACUGAGACACGGCCCAGACUCCUACGGGAGGCAGCAGUGGGGAAUCUUAGACAAUGGGGGCAACCCUGAUCUAGCCAUGCCGCGUGAGUGAUGAAGGCCUUAGGGUUGUAAAGCUCUUUCAGCUGGGAAGAUAAUGACGGUACCAGCAGAAGAAGUCCCGGCUAACUCCGUGCCAGCAGCCGCGGUAAU
This 471-nucleotide ribosomal RNA is filed under the name uncultured Paracoccus sp. RNAcentral's name for it is "bacterial SSU rRNA". It matches the Rfam family "Bacterial small subunit ribosomal RNA", at positions 1 to 524 of the family's 1533-position model. The record is from RNAcentral. Lineage: Bacteria; Pseudomonadati; Pseudomonadota; Alphaproteobacteria; Rhodobacterales; Paracoccaceae.